RNAcentral lists this ribosomal RNA (724 nucleotides) under uncultured Staphylococcus sp. Its description in RNAcentral is "bacterial SSU rRNA". It matches the Rfam family "Bacterial small subunit ribosomal RNA", at positions 63 to 774 of the family's 1533-position model. Lineage: Bacteria; Bacillati; Bacillota; Bacilli; Caryophanales; Staphylococcaceae. The record is from RNAcentral.
CGAACAGACGAGGAGCUUGCUCCUCUGACGUUAGCGGCGGACGGGUGAGUAACACGUGGAUAACCUACCUAUAAGACUGGGAUAACUUCGGGAAACCGGAGCUAAUACCGGAUAAUAUAUUGAACCGCAUGGUUCAAUAGUGAAAGACGGUUUUGCUGUCACUUAUAGAUGGAUCCGCGUCGCAUUAGCUAGUUGGUAAGGUAACGGCUUACCAAGGCAACGAUGCGUAGCCGACCUGAGAGGGUGAUCGGCCACACUGGAACUGAGACACGGUCCAGACUCCUACGGGAGGCAGCAGUAGGGAAUCUUCCGCAAUGGGCGAAAGCCUGACGGAGCAACGCCGCGUGAGUGAUGAAGGUCUUCGGAUCGUAAAACUCUGUUAUUAGGGAAGAACAAAUGUGUAAGUAACUAUGCACGUCUUGACGGUACCUAAUCAGAAAGCCACGGCUAACUACGUGCCAGCAGCCGCGGUAAUACGUAGGUGGCAAGCGUUAUCCGGAAUUAUUGGGCGUAAAGCGCGCGUAGGCGGUUUUUUAAGUCUGAUGUGAAGCCCACGGCUCAACCGUGGAGGGUCAUUGGAAACUGGAAAACUUGAGUGCAGAAGAGGAAAGUGGAAUUCCAUGUGUAGCGGUGAAAUGCGCAGAGAUAUGGAGGAACACCAGUGGCGAAGGCGACUUUCUGGUCUGCAACUGACGCUGAUGUGCGAAAGCGUGGGGAUCAAACA